Molecule: ribosomal RNA, 404 nt
Filed under: Parvimonas micra
Lineage: Bacteria; Bacillati; Bacillota; Tissierellia; Tissierellales; Peptoniphilaceae
Description: bacterial SSU rRNA
Rfam family: Bacterial small subunit ribosomal RNA
Source: RNAcentral
GACGAACGCUGGCGGCGUGCUUAACACAUGCAAGUCGAACGUGAUUUUUGUGGAAGUUCCUUCGGGAAUGGAAGCGAAAUGAAAGUGGCGAACGGGUGAGUAACACGUGAGCAACCUACCUUACACAGGGGGAUAGCCGUUGGAAACGACGAUUAAUACCGCAUGAGACCACAGAAUCGCAUGAUAUAGGGGUCAAAGAUUUAUCGGUGUAAGAAGGGCUCGCGUCUGAUUAGCUAGUUGGAAGGGUAAAGGCCUACCAAGGCGACGAUCAGUAGCCGGUCUGAGAGGAUGAACCACGAGCACGGUCCAAACUCCUACGGGAGGCAGCAGUGGGGAAUAUUGCACAAUGGGGGGAACCCCUGAUGCAGCGACGCCGCGUGAGCGAAAGAAAGGUUUUUCGAAAU